Molecule: long non-coding RNA, 216 nt
Organism: Oxyura jamaicensis (ruddy duck)
Lineage: Eukaryota; Metazoa; Chordata; Aves; Anseriformes; Anatidae
Exons: 2
Source: RefSeq, a predicted model, not a curated record
GGGCAAUUCCACCUCCUUUGGGCCCAGGAGAGAGGCUGAGCGCAGCAGCAGGCUGGGUCCUGCACCCCUGCUCGCCCCCCAUGGGACUGCAAGCAUCCCAGUGCUUGACGGGGCGAGUUGGGCUGCCCCGAUUUUAUUCCUGGCCCCAUCACGUAGACCAGGGGAGCCGGGAGGCUGUCGGCUUUUUUCUUUUCCUCUUUCUACACAAUUACAGCA